This 257-nucleotide long non-coding RNA is filed under the name Elaeis guineensis (African oil palm). RNAcentral describes it as "long non-coding RNA (EGUI_LNC047153)". Lineage: Eukaryota; Viridiplantae; Streptophyta; Magnoliopsida; Arecales; Arecaceae. The record is from RNAcentral.
GGGGUCAUCACCAUGAGUCCCAUUUUUCGUGAGGAACAUUUCCUCUACUUCCUCUUGUAUAGUACCUAAGUACCUUUCAGGAGGAUGAAAAAUCUUAGUCGAUCUAUGAGGUGGAAGAGGUUGUGUUAGGACUGGUUCUAAUUGAUUUGGUUCCUCAGGUUCUUUAGCUCAUUGCUCUUGGGAGACAUUCUCCUUGAGCUUAAUUAUUUUUCCGAUGCCACCAUCUUGAAUAAACUAUUUUUCAAGAAAAAUAACAU